RNAcentral lists this ribosomal RNA (221 nucleotides) under uncultured bacterium. RNAcentral describes it as "partial 16S ribosomal RNA". It matches the Rfam family "Bacterial small subunit ribosomal RNA", at positions 15 to 217 of the family's 1533-position model. The record is from RNAcentral.
GAUCAUGGCUCAGGACGAACGCUGGCGGCGUGCUUAACACAUGCAAGUCGAACGGAGUGCUCAUGACAGAGGUUUCGGCCAAUGGAUUGAGUUACUUAGUGGCGGACUGGUGAGUAACGCGUGAGGAACCUGCCUUUCAGAGGGGGACAACAGUUGGAAACGACUGCUAAUACCGCAUGACACAUCGAAGGGGCAUCCCUUUGAUGUCAAAGAUUUUAUCG